UAGGGAAUCUUCCACAAUGGACGCAAGUCUGAUGGAGCAACGCCGCGUGAGUGAAGAAGGUCUUCGGAUCGUAAAACCUCUGUUGUUAGAGAAGAACACGAGUGAGAGUAACUGUUCAUUCGAUGACGGUAUCUAACCAGCAAGUCACGGCUAACUACGUGCCAG
Molecule: ribosomal RNA, 165 nt
Filed under: uncultured bacterium
Lineage: Bacteria
Description: partial 16S rRNA
Rfam family: Bacterial small subunit ribosomal RNA
Source: RNAcentral